GGAUGCCUACGGGGCGCAGCAGUAGGGAAUAUUGCUCAAUGGGGGAAACCCUGAAGCAGCAACGCCGCGUGGAGGAUGAAGGUUUUCGGAUUGUAAACUCCUUUUGUUAGAGAAGAUAAUGACGGUAUCUAACGAAUAAGCACCGGCUAACUCCGUGCCAGCAGCCGCGGUAAUAAGGAGGGUGCAAGCGUUACUCGGAAUCACUGGGCGUAAAGAGCGCGUAGGCGGGAUAGAAAGUCAGAUGUGAAAUCCGAUGGCUUAACCAUAGAACUGCAUUUGAAACCGUUAUUCUAGAGU
RNAcentral lists this ribosomal RNA (297 nucleotides) under uncultured bacterium. Its description in RNAcentral is "partial 16S ribosomal RNA". It matches the Rfam family "Bacterial small subunit ribosomal RNA", at positions 333 to 647 of the family's 1533-position model. The record is from RNAcentral.